GUCUACGGCCAAGCCACCCUGAACGAGUCCGAUCCCUUCCGAUCUCGGAAGCUAAGCAGGGUCGGGCCUGGUUAGUACUUGGAUGGGAGACCAUCUAGGAAGACCAGGUGCUGUGGGCA
RNAcentral lists this ribosomal RNA (119 nucleotides) under Pteropus alecto (black flying fox). Lineage: Eukaryota; Metazoa; Chordata; Mammalia; Chiroptera; Pteropodidae. The record is from RNAcentral.